UUUCUGUUUUUUGUCGAUCGU
RNAcentral lists this non-coding RNA (21 nucleotides) under Caenorhabditis elegans. The record is from RNAcentral. Lineage: Eukaryota; Metazoa; Nematoda; Chromadorea; Rhabditida; Rhabditidae.